RNAcentral lists this ribosomal RNA (423 nucleotides) under uncultured bacterium. RNAcentral's name for it is "bacterial SSU rRNA". It matches the Rfam family "Bacterial small subunit ribosomal RNA", at positions 207 to 622 of the family's 1533-position model. The record is from RNAcentral.
AAGACCUUGCGCUUUUGGAGCGGCCGAUGCCUGAUUAGCUUGUUGGUAAGGUAAAAGCUUACCAAGGCUUCGAUCAGUAGCUGGUCUGAGAGGACGGCCAGCCACACUGGGACUGAGACACGGCCCAGACUCCUACGGGAGGCAGCAGUGGGGAAUUUUGGACAAUGGGCGCAAGCCUGAUCCAGCCAUGCCGCGUGAGUGAAGAAGGCCUUCGGGUUGUAAAGCUCUUUCAGUCGGGAAGAAAAGGUUGCGACUAAUAAUCGCAAUUCAUGACGGUACCGAAAGAAGAAGCACCGGCUAACUACGUGCCAGCAGCCGCGGUAAUACGUAGGGUGCGAGCGUUAAUCGGAAUUACUGGGCGUAAAGGGUGCGCAGGCGGUUUUGUAAGUCAGAUGUGAAAUCCCCGGGCUUAACCUGGGAACU